CCCGCUGAACUUAAGCAUAUCAAUAAGCGGAGGAAAAGAAACCAACAGGGAUUGCCUCAGUAACGGCGAGUGAAGCGGCAACAGCUCAAAUUUGAAAUCUGGCUCUUUCAGGGUCCGAGUUGUAAUUUGUAGAGGAUGUUUCGGGUGUGGCUCCGGUCUAAGUUCCUUGGAACAGGACGUCAUAGAGGGUGAGAAUCCCGUAUGUGACUGGUAGCCUAUGCCCAUGUGAAACUCCUUCGACGAGUCGAGUUGUUUGGGAAUGCGGCUCAAAAUGGGUGGUAAAUUUCAUCUAAAGCUAAAUAUUGGCCAGAGACCGAUAGCGCACAAGUAGAGUGAUCGAAAGAUGAAAAGCACUUUGGAAAGAGAGUUAAACAGUACGUGAAAUUGUUGAAAGGGAAGCGCUUGCAACCAGACUUGCAUGUAGCUGAUCAACCGGUGUUCUCACCGAUGCACUCAGUUGCGUUCAGGCCAGCAUCGGUUUCGACGGUUGGAUAAAGGCCUUGGGAAUGUAGCUUCUUUCGGGGAGUGUUAUAGCCCAGGGUGCAAUGCAGCCUGUUGGGACCGAGGACCGCGCUUCGGCUAGGAUGCUGGCGUAAUGGUUGUAAGCGACCCGUCUUGAAACACGG
Molecule: ribosomal RNA, 626 nt
Filed under: uncultured fungus
Lineage: Eukaryota; Fungi
Description: eukaryotic LSU rRNA
Rfam family: Eukaryotic large subunit ribosomal RNA
Source: RNAcentral